RNAcentral lists this ribosomal RNA (253 nucleotides) under uncultured bacterium. RNAcentral's name for it is "partial 16S ribosomal RNA". It matches the Rfam family "Bacterial small subunit ribosomal RNA", at positions 524 to 776 of the family's 1533-position model. The record is from RNAcentral.
UACGUAGGGACCGAGCGUUGUCCGGAUUCAUUGGGCGUAAAGAGCUCGUAGGCGGCUGUUCAAGUCGAACGUGAAAACUCGGAGCUCAACUCCGAGCCUGCGUUCGAUACUGGACGGCUAGAGUCUGGUAGGGGGAUCUGGAAUUCCUGGUGUAGCGGUGAAAUGCGCAGAUAUCAGGAAGAACACCAAUGGCGAAAGCAGCUCUCUGGGACGGUACUGACGCUGAGACGCGAAAGCGUGGGGAGCGAACAGG